RNAcentral lists this non-coding RNA (148 nucleotides) under Nomascus leucogenys (northern white-cheeked gibbon). Lineage: Eukaryota; Metazoa; Chordata; Mammalia; Primates; Hylobatidae. The record is from Rfam by way of RNAcentral.
GCUGGGCAUGGUGGCACAUGCCUGUAAUCCCAGCUACUUUGGAGGUUGAGGCAGGGGAAUUGUUUGAACCCAGGAGGCGGAGAUUGCAGUGAGCCGAUAUUACGCCACUGCAUUCCAGCCUGGGUGACAGAGUGAGAUCUUGUCUCAA